AAAAAUUAUUUCAUUUCAAAAUGGCUGCUAUAGUUAGAUGGAACAUUAUUCAUAAUGAGUCGCUACACUUCUUACGAUAAACACAGCGAUUACAAUGUCAUCGUAUUACAUUCAUUAAUGAUUGAUCUAUAUUCUUUCUAACAGUAUCAGUAAAAUAUUAGCCUUGAGUAGAAAAUCAAUAAAAUAAAAACAACCAUUGCAAACCUCAGAAAUAGACCAUCGCUUGUAUUAUGGAAGUUUUAACUGACCUUAACCUUGAUCAUUUUGUUUAGGCCUAUGUCUUGCUAAACACAAGCCAGGCCUACAAUAUUUUAGCCAAUAUUCAGCUUUAUUUUUAUGUUUAAGCUUAUUAAUAAUUGUACGCAUAAACUUUGAUCAAAAAUGCACUUUUCAUCUCAAAUAAAUUGCUGAAAAUCAGUUAUUAGCAGUUGUACUUUUUAUGUUACUUUUUUGUGUUACAAAGUUGUAUGCAAAUGUAUUACCUUUGAACUCUGCCCAACCAAUCAUUUUAGAAAGAUAUCAAAACAUUAGUAAUCGGCCUAGGCCUACUGUUUGUCAGCGCAGAAGACGUAGCAUUCGUGAACGUUAAACGUGGACAGCGGACAUUGUUACAAUAUCUAAUCCAGAUCUAUAAAGUAGAACUGAGUUUACAGAGCAAACUACACUUUCUUAUUUGAGUAGUUAUUAAGGAUCUUGCUCCAAAAUGUCAGAUGAAAAAUAUUUAGAUCAACUUGAUAAAUAUAACAUUGACCAAGACAAAUACGAAAACCAUGCACACAGUGGAAAGGGGAGGACCAAAAAAGAAGCAGCGCAACAUCAUCAUGAAGAUCCAAGUGGUCACACGAGAAAAGAUGUUCAGAAACUUGUAAACAACUCACAUAAACAAGCAGAAAAGAAAGCAAGCAAAGAAAAAUAAUGUCUGCCUGGUCAUAUUUAUUACUCAACCAAAUGAUGAAAAGGUUUUUAUGUGGAACUGAUUACUGAAUAGCGAUUUGAUUCUCAAUGGCUGAUGACUAUUUGUUUUGAAAUCAGUCACUUGAGGUGGGCAGCUAUGGAUACUUUACCAACUGUCCAUUUUAUCAUCUUCAUCACUGCAUCAACUUACAGAUGUCAUUGAAUUAAACAGAAUGCAUCUGUUUCAUUUUAAUUCAUGUUGAGCACCAUUGUAAUACCAACCCUUCCUGUUACUGUACUUUAAUGAACAUGGUUGUUGGGAUUUGUUUUAAUUUUUUUGCAGUUGUUUUUCAUGUUAAUUGUUAUACACACCUUGCUGUGUUAAGAAAUAAAUGUGUUAAUGUUGCUGCAUAACUGCA
Molecule: long non-coding RNA, 1313 nt
Organism: Physella acuta
Lineage: Eukaryota; Metazoa; Mollusca; Gastropoda; Physidae
Source: RefSeq, a predicted model, not a curated record